This 1251-nucleotide long non-coding RNA is filed under the name Scleropages formosus (Asian bonytongue). Its description in RNAcentral is "lncRNA (ENSSFOG00015029303.1)". The record is from RNAcentral. Lineage: Eukaryota; Metazoa; Chordata; Actinopteri; Osteoglossiformes; Osteoglossidae.
GGCGCGCGCGGCGCGGUGUGUCUUUAAGAGUGGCAGCGCCGCGCGCUCCGCCACCAGUCGAGGAGGAGCCUCUCCGGGGUUCGACGGCGCGCGCUGCGCGCGAGGGCCGAACGCGCUCGGAAUACCGCACCGGAGAGAGAAGAACAUAGUAGGUGACAGAGAGAGAAUCACGCCGCGGACUGCAGGCGAUGGGAUUGUAUUUCACGAGGAACUCGCCGUGGGGUCUGCUGUAGCGGGGCUCGUCCGCAGAGAGAAGCUCGCGCUGGCUGGAGCGCGCGGGCACCGGAGCUGCUCACCUCGGCUGCACCGCGGUAUGACACGGGCGAGUUGCGCUCCAACACUGCGCCCGCUUCCCUCCCUCCCCGGCACUUCCUCACCCCGCGGAACACGGCACUUGUUUGGGAACUUCAUUAAUUUACAGCUUCAGCUUGGUGCUGCGUAUUAUAUUUUAAUAAUUACAAACCUUCAUUUAGCCCGUCUAGGGGAAACUCAAAAUCAUGCUAGACAAUCAACUUUACAGUUAUUUACCCAAUCAAUCAAUGUAUGAUUUAUACAUAGCACGGCAUUCUUUCAGUGUUAAUUCAGGGUUAGUACCUGUCAAGGGCGCCGGCUGUGCUGCAGCAGAGUGGGAUUCAAACCAAGAACAGCCAGGACCUGGCUUCAGACUGGGAGGGAGCUCUACCGUCUGGCACAUUCGUUCCCGUUUAGGUUGCAGGGUCCGGACGCACAGGUUCGUUUUGCUGAAUGGAUCAUCGAACCAUUAGUCGCGGUUUUACGAGAAUUCGCACCUUCCCCCGGUUUACGUUCUUUUCGCAUCUCCGCCGCUCCCGCCGGUCCGGUCGGCCCGUUAUGUUUCCACAACCCGCUAUAUCCUGGAGCCAAGUGCGAGCUGCGUCGCGAGUAAUCGCAAUAAUAAGAUUUCUCAUUUUCAUUCCGGACUAUAGUUAGACAAGUAGCGUCCGACCUUAUCGAAAAAAUGCAUUCAUGUGAAACUGGCAUUGGCAUAAGCGCUAUUUUAUUUUAACGCACGAGAUUUAAUUCCCUGAUUGUACGUAUUUUCUUAACAAAAAAAUCGCACGGACCCUUAAUUCGAAUUGUCCUAAUUAAUAAGCCAAGCAACAGACGUAAAAUAACCUGCAUCUGUUAUUUUUUCUAAAUAUAUUUUCUUCGCGUAUAUAGUACAACAUUGUAAAUAGUGAAAAUGCAGAACCUUUUUCCAGCGACGGUCGUCCGGCCGCUGAAGCGCAAAAA